RNAcentral lists this ribosomal RNA (254 nucleotides) under uncultured bacterium. RNAcentral's name for it is "partial 16S ribosomal RNA". It matches the Rfam family "Bacterial small subunit ribosomal RNA", at positions 524 to 776 of the family's 1533-position model. The record is from RNAcentral.
UACGUAGGGUCCGAGCGUUGUCCGGAAUUACUGGGCGUAAAGAGCUCGUAGGUGGUUUGUCGCGUUGUUCGUGAAAACUCACAGCUCAACUGUGGGCGUGCGGGCGGAUACGGGCAGACUUGAGUACUGCAGGGGAGACUGGAAUUCCUGGUGUAGCGGUGGAAUGCGCAGAUAUCAGGAGGAACACCGGUGGCGAAGGCGGGUCUCUGGGCAGUAACUGACGCUGAGGAGCGAAAGCGUGGGGAGCGAACAGG